AGUGGCAUAGUUGGGUCAAAAAUGGUGGUUUCAUUCAAGUUUUUUGAGGAAUCUCCACACUGUUUUACAAAGUGGUUGCCCCAAUUUGUAGUCCCACCAGCAAU
RNAcentral lists this microRNA precursor (104 nucleotides) under Marmota monax (woodchuck). Lineage: Eukaryota; Metazoa; Chordata; Mammalia; Rodentia; Sciuridae. The record is from RNAcentral.